UGUAACGGAGGCGCCCAAAGGUUCCCUCAGCCUGGUUGGCAAUCAGGUGUCGAGUGCAAGUGCACAAGGGAGCUUGACUGUGAGACUGACGGGUCGAGCAGGGACGAAAGUCGGGACUAGUGAUCCGGCACCGGCAUGUGGAAGCGGUGUCGCUCAACGGAUAAAAGGUACCCCGGGGAUAACAGGCUGAUCUUCCCCAAGAGUCCAUAUCGACGGGAUGGUUUGGCACCUCGAUGUCGGCUCGUCGCAUCCUGGGGCUGGAGUAGGUCCCAAGGGUUGGGCUGUUCGCCCAUUAAAGCGGCACGCGAGCUGGGUUUAGAACGUCGUGAGACAGUUCGGUCUCUAUCCGCCGCGCGCGUCAGAAACUUGAGGAAGGCUGUCCCUAGUACGAGAGGACCGGGACGGACGAACCUCUGGUGUGCCAGUUGUCCUGCCAAGGGCACUGCUGGUUAGCUACGUUCGGAAGGGAUAACCGCUGAAAGCAUCUAAGCGGGAAGCCUGUUCCAAGAUGAGGUUUCUCACCCCCUCGAGGGGGUAAGGCCCCCCACAGACCAUGGGGUUGAUAGGCCAGAACUGGAAGCGCGGUAACGUGUGGAGGUGACUGGUACUAAUCGGCCGAGGACUUACCAAC
RNAcentral lists this ribosomal RNA (631 nucleotides) under Nocardia farcinica. RNAcentral's name for it is "partial 23S ribosomal RNA". It matches the Rfam family "Bacterial large subunit ribosomal RNA", at positions 2296 to 2925 of the family's 2925-position model. Lineage: Bacteria; Bacillati; Actinomycetota; Actinomycetes; Mycobacteriales; Nocardiaceae. The record is from RNAcentral.